UAUUUGAGAUGAGUCGGUCAGAUU
This 24-nucleotide non-coding RNA is filed under the name Mus musculus (house mouse). The record is from RNAcentral. Lineage: Eukaryota; Metazoa; Chordata; Mammalia; Rodentia; Muridae.